GGGAAAGGAAGAGCUCUUGACAUUCGUUUGUGCCUUGUCUAUGGCAUGUGUUAGUGAUUCAGACGUUUUAGCACCCGGGAAACAGCACUUUGACCGUGGAUUGCUGAUAGGAAAAAUACGAGUUGGUAACAGCAAAUGAUAAGCCAAUCACAAAACGGUGAAGAUGAAAAAAGCCUUUCCACACUAUCCAGUCCCACAACAGCAGCAUGUUUCUGGCUCAUUCAAUCGUCACUCUAGGACUUUACCAAAAAGGGAAUUAUCUUACUAGGAAACUUGGUGCAGAAGUAGUUGAUUGAUAAUUCUGGAUAUGACAUGAGGGUUUUGAUGUUUAUAUGAUGUUCAAGUUGUUAAUGGAGAUGCCAAUGAGGAGACGCUGAUAAGUGUGCUUGAAGCUGCUACUGUUCUUGGUGGUGGUCCUUGUUCAUCUGUCAUGUCACAUCCAUGCAGCGGUAAUCUGUUCCUA
Long non-coding RNA from Daphnia pulicaria, 463 nucleotides. RefSeq lists it as uncharacterized. The transcript is spliced from 4 exons. Lineage: Eukaryota; Metazoa; Arthropoda; Branchiopoda; Diplostraca; Daphniidae. The record is from RefSeq and is a predicted model, not a curated record.